GACGAACGCUGGCGGCGUGCUUAACACAUGCAAGUCGAACGGAAAGGCCCUGCUUUUGUGGGGUGCUCGAGUGGCGAACGGGUGAGUAACACGUGAGUAACCUGCCCUUGACUUUGGGAUAACUUCAGGAAACUGGGGCUAAUACCGGAUAGGAGCUCCUGCUGCAUGGUGGGGGUUGGAAAGUUUCGGCGGUUGGGGAUGGACUCGCGGCUUAUCAGCUUGUUGGUGGGGUAGUGGCUUACCAAGGCUUUGACGGGUAGCCGGCCUGAGAGGGUGACCGGCCACAUUGGGACGGAGAUACGGCCCAGACUCCUACGGGAGGCAGCAGGGGGGAAUAUUGCACAAUGGGCGGAAGCCUGAUGCAGCAACGCCGCGUGCGGGAUGACGGCCUUCGGGUUGUAAGCCGCUUUCGCCUGUGACGAAGCGUGAGUGACGGUAAUGGGUAAAGAAGCACCGGCUAACUACGUG
Molecule: ribosomal RNA, 468 nt
Filed under: uncultured bacterium
Lineage: Bacteria
Description: partial 16S ribosomal RNA
Rfam family: Bacterial small subunit ribosomal RNA
Source: RNAcentral